RNAcentral lists this ribosomal RNA (409 nucleotides) under uncultured bacterium. RNAcentral describes it as "bacterial SSU rRNA". It matches the Rfam family "Bacterial small subunit ribosomal RNA", at positions 370 to 772 of the family's 1533-position model. The record is from RNAcentral.
AAUGGGGGAAACCCUGACGCAGCAACGCCGCGUGAGUGAUGAAGGCUUUCGGGUCGUAAAGCUCUGUCGGGUGGGAAGAACCAGUAAUAGUUAAUAGCUAUUGCCUUGACGGUACCACCAAAGGAAGCACCGGCUAACUCCGUGCCAGCAGCCGCGGUAAUACGGGGGGUGCAAGCGUUAUUCGGAAUUAUUGGGCGUAAAGGGUGCGUAGGCGGUUUUGUAAGUCAGAUGUGAAAUACCGGGGCUUAACUUCGGAACUGCAUAUGAUACUGCAAGACUUGAGUAUGGGAGAGGGAAGCGGAAUUCCUGGUGUAGAGGUGAAAUUCGUAGAUAUCAGGAGGAACACCGGUGGCGAAGGCGGCUUCCUGGACCAAUACUGACGCUGAGGCACGAAGGCGUGGGGAGCAAA